UACCGUGUAGCUCUGUUGGUAGAGCGUCGAUCUAGUAAUUCGAAGGUCGCGGGUUCAAGACUCAGCCGCGGCAG
RNAcentral lists this transfer RNA (74 nucleotides) under Paramuricea clavata. Its description in RNAcentral is "tRNA-Thr". It matches the Rfam family "tRNA". Rfam says of the family: Transfer RNA (tRNA) molecules are approximately 80 nucleotides in length. Their secondary structure includes four short double-helical elements and three loops (D, anti-codon, and T loops). The record is from RNAcentral. Lineage: Eukaryota; Metazoa; Cnidaria; Anthozoa; Malacalcyonacea; Plexauridae.